UAGAAGCGGGUGGGGAGGUGCCAGGCCGGCGCGAGGCGCCCCACCCGGCUUGCUGUGCGCAUGCGCGCUCCUGCCAGAGCGGCCCGUGGACCAGUUGGUGUCCGGUGCUUGGCAGUGAUCGUAGUUGUACGGUCAGCAAUAGAAAAAGUGCUCAAAAUGUGCGAUAAUUCAUUCCCCGGGCCGGCGCAGGUGCUGAGGCCCGAGGGCAGGGGGCUGCCCCGAUUCCGGCCGGAGGCGGCCGUUGGGGCCCGGCGGGCGGAGCCGCGACCCGCCAGCUUCUAACGGCCAACGGCUCCCGCGCACAUGCGACUGGCGGCGCGCGGCUCAUGGCUGUUCCCCGUGUCUCCCUCGGGGGUGGCAGAGCAGGGGGCAAUGGUCUAAAGUUGCCGCAAGAGCGGCUAGGGUAGAUAUCAGAAAAACUUGCUCACGAGGAGAGUAGGGAAGCACUGGGGCAGGUUAGACAGAGAGGUGGGAUCUCCAUCCUUGGAGGGGUUUAAGACCAGGUAGAUAAAGCCUGGGCUGGGAUGAUCUAGCUGGGGAUGGUCCUGCUUUGAGCAGGGGGUUGCACUAGAUGAUCUCCUGAGGUCCCUUUCAACCCUCAUUUGCUGCGAUUCCCUGGAGGACGUCAGCUUUCCACUCAGCAGUCUUCCCAACCUGCCAGAUCUGGCCUUGAAGCCAGAAAGACUGGAGAGAGAGCAGGGAAGAGCCCACACGAUCCAAGCCCAACAGACCUGUUCACUUUGCUGUUUGCUCCAGACUAGGAUAAUACAUUGCCUAUCGGAGUCCCUCUGAGCAGAAAGCAGGACCUUGCUUUCCAACACUGCUAAUGUCAUGCCUGGCCUGCCGCUGGCCUUCUGGAGUCUUCUGAUGGUGGCUGCAGAGUGGUGGGCGCUAGCACGUCCACUCCUUGCAUCCGGUUUCACUCUGCGGGUUUCUGUAUGGCAUUCCUGAUGGAAUAUUUCAUUUUCUAAUGCCAAUGGUGAAUUUGGGCUCAAGUAUCUUCCUACUCCUCACAGCUUCCUACUCCUCACAGCUUCAUUCUGCAAUGUAAUACCACUGACACAGACAUUGUAAGCAAAGAACUAUACAGCAGGCAAAGAAGGGUCCCAGGAGCAGCACCUACCCUAAAGAUAUCAUCUUCAGAAGCA
Alligator mississippiensis (American alligator) is the source of this 1148-nucleotide long non-coding RNA. RefSeq lists it as uncharacterized. The record is from RefSeq and is a predicted model, not a curated record. Lineage: Eukaryota; Metazoa; Chordata; Crocodylia; Alligatoridae. The transcript is spliced from 3 exons.